Molecule: long non-coding RNA, 1339 nt
Filed under: Macaca mulatta (Rhesus monkey)
Lineage: Eukaryota; Metazoa; Chordata; Mammalia; Primates; Cercopithecidae
Description: lncRNA (ENSMMUG00000064901.1)
Source: RNAcentral
GUUUUUGUCUACAUGGCUGCAGAGACUGGCCAGGGUUUUGUCUGCCAUCCACCUUCAGAACGGUGGAAACAGUUGAAAAGAACAUUGAGGUGAAGCUUGGGCUGGUUUGUAACCAGGAACAACGGAGAUAUGGUGUUUUCAGACAAGGGAAUAAAUUCCCGGAAGCAAGUGGCCAGGAAUGAAAAUCCUGGAGAACAAAGUGGAAUAAACCCGUAUUCAACGGUUCCUGUUGAUUUUCUUUCCUCCCUAAACACUGACCUCCCGCAGUCUUCACCAGCAGUAGAGCUGAAUCCCUUGAAAACACUCAUAGCACGAUGACAAGGUUUGGCAGCUGCAGUCUUGAAGACCAGGAAGUGAGGUGGGUAAAUACCUAGGAUGUACAGCCUCAUGCUUGUCAGUGCCCCUAGAGCGGGAGCCUCAGCAGCUGGGUUCCAGUUCCUGACUAGUGCUUGCUGGGUGCUCCUGGGGGCUCGCCUUCCCUGCUCGGGUGCUCCUUGUCUUUUGAGGGAGGGAAACGGUAUCCACUACGGGCAGCGAGGGUCUCUCUGAGUGCCACUCUGCCACUCUCUGCUGGGGUCCCUCCAUGCUGUCUGUCCCUGUGGCUCCCCCAACCCCAUGCCCAUCUGCUCCCUUCUCUGCCAUCGUCCCUCCUUUCACGGCAAUUGUCCCGCUGUCCCUUCACAGCCUAUCUCUCCCCUGAGCCUCUGGUGGUGUGAUUCAUCUCCCUCUGGUGGACUCAGGGCUGGCCAUGCGCUGCCUGCAGCUUGCACUAAUCAUAAUAGCAGCCACAGCUAAUACGUGAAUUGCUUUUCAGAGUUCAAGGAGGCUUCCAGCCUCACGAGCCCUUGGAUCCUUGCAAUAGUCCCUUGAAAUGGUAAGACUUUGGAUGCUUUAUACAUUUAUGUAAAAUGUAUUUUACAUUUAUAAAUGGAUGCAUUUAUUUUGGUUUUAAUAACAUAUUACUUUCUCAGGAACACAUAUUUAAACAGACAUUUUUGUUGAUCAAUAACAAUAAAGCUUUUUAAGAGUUUAUAUAAUCUACACUAAAUCUUUCACAAAAGCUAGGAGUAGAAUAUGAUAUAAUAGGCACUAAUUACUCUAAUUUUCUCUUACAUAGGGCAAGAAUAAAUACCUCGCAUUUUAUAGUGCUUUAUACUUCACCAGAAAAACCAAACCUACAUUUAAUUCCCAAUAUAAUAGGCUCAUCCAGCAAUCUUUGAGGUGAGGGAAACAAGACUUAUUAUCUCAAGUUUUAUGGUGGAGGAAAUAAAGGUUUAUGAUAAGUGAAAUAAUUUGUUCAGAGUUGCAAAUACCUCGUAGAUAGCAGAGUAGAGUUUGA